GACGAACGCUGGCGGCGUGCUUAACACAUGCAAGUCGAACGGAAAGGCCCUGCUUUUGUGGGGUGCUCGAGUGGCGAACGGGUGAGUAACACGUGAGUAACCUGCCCUUGACUUUGGGAUAACUUCAGGAAACUGGGGCUAAUACCGGAUAGGAGCUCCUGCUGCAUGGUGGGGGUUGGAAAGUUUCGGCGGUUGGGGAUGGACUCGCGGCUUAUCAGCUUGUUGGUGGGGUAGUGGCUUACCAAGGCUUUGACGGGUAGCCGGCCUGAGAGGGUGACCGGCCACAUUGGGACUGAGAUACGGCCCAGACUCCUACGGGAGGCAGCAGUGGGGAAUAUUGCACAAUGGGCGGAAGCCUGAUGCAGCAACGCCGCGUGCGGGAUGACGGCCUUCGGGUUGUAAACCGCUUUCGCCUGUGACGAAGCGUGAGUGACGGUAAUGGGUAAAGAAGCACCGGCUAACUACGUGCCAGCAGCCGCGGUGAUACGUAGGGUGCGAGCGUUGUCCGGAUUUAUUGGGCGUAAAGGGCUCGUAGGUGGUUGAUCGCGUCGGAAGUGUAAUCUUGGGGCUUAACCCUGAGCGUGCUUUCGAUACGGGUUGACUUGAGGAAGGUAGGGGAGAAUGGAAUUCCUGGUGGAGCGGUGGAAUGCGCAGAUAUCAGGAGGAACACCAGUGGCGAAGGCGGUUCUCUGGGCCUUUCCCGACGCUGAGGAGCGAAAGCGUGGGGAGCGAACAGGCUUAGAUACCCUGGUAGUCCACGCUGUAAACGGUGGGUACUAGGUGUGGGGUCCAUUCCACGGGUUCCGUGCCGUAGCUAACGCUUUAAGUACCCCGCCUGGGGAGUACGGCCGCAAGGCUAAAGCUCAAAGGAAUUGACGGGGCCCCGCACAAGCGGCGGAGCAUGCGGAUUAAUUCGAUGCAACGCGUAGAACCUUACCUGGGUUUGACAUGGAUCGGGAGUGCUCAGAGAUGGGUGUGCCUCUUUUGGGGUCGGUUCACAGGUGGUGCAUGGCUGUCGUCAGCUCGUGUCGUGAGAUGUUGGGUUAAGUCCCGCAACGAGCGCAACCCUUGUUCACUGUUGCCAGCACGUUAUGGUGGGGACUCAGUGGAGACCGCCGGGGUCAACUCGGAGGAAGGUGGGGAUGACGUCAAGUCAUCAUGCCCCUUAUGUCCAGGGCUUCACGCAUGCUACAAUGGCUGGUACAGAGAGUGGCGAGCCUGUGAGGGUGAGCGAAUCUCGGAAAGCCGGUCUCAGUUCGGAUUGGGGUCUGCAACUCGACCUCAUGAAGUCGGAGUCGCUAGUAAUCGCAGAUCAGCAACGCUGCGGUGAAUACGUUCCCGGG
RNAcentral lists this ribosomal RNA (1343 nucleotides) under uncultured bacterium. Its description in RNAcentral is "16S ribosomal RNA". It matches the Rfam family "Bacterial small subunit ribosomal RNA", at positions 28 to 1378 of the family's 1533-position model. The record is from RNAcentral.